Cebus imitator (Panamanian white-faced capuchin) is the source of this 120-nucleotide ribosomal RNA. The record is from Ensembl. NCBI's taxonomy places the organism in Eukaryota, Metazoa, Chordata, Mammalia, Primates, Cebidae.
AUCUAUAGCCAUAUCACCAUGAAUGUGCCCUAUCUCAUCUGCUUUUGUGAACCUAAGCAGGGUCAGGCGUGGUUAGUGCUUGGAUGGGAGAGCUUAUGGGAAUACCAGGUGCCAUAGGCU